UACGUAGGGGGCAAGCGUUGUUCGGAUUUAUUGGGCUUAAAGGGUGCGUAGGCGGCCCUGUAAGUCAGUGCUGAAAUAUCCCGGCUUAACCGGGAGGGUGGCAUUGAUACUGCGGGGCUAGAGUACAGAUGAGGUAGGCGGAAUUGACGGUGUAGCGGUGAAAUGCUUAGAUAUCGUCAAGAACACCUAUAGCGAAGGCAGCUUACUGGGCUGUAACUGACGCUGAGGCACGAAAGUGUGGGGAUCAAACAGG
RNAcentral lists this ribosomal RNA (253 nucleotides) under uncultured bacterium. Its description in RNAcentral is "partial 16S ribosomal RNA". It matches the Rfam family "Bacterial small subunit ribosomal RNA", at positions 524 to 776 of the family's 1533-position model. The record is from RNAcentral.